AAUCAACGCUGGCGGCGUGCCUAACACAUGCAAGUCGAACGCGAAAGCCCGCAAGGGUAAGUAGAGUGGCGCACGGGUGAGUAACACGUGGACAACCUGCCUUCGAGUGGGGAAUAACCUUCCGAAAGGAGGGCUAAUACCGCAUAACACCUCGGGACACAAGUCUUGGGGUUGAAAAGAGCAAUUUGCUCGAAGAGGGGUCCGCGCCUGAUUAGCUAGUUGGUGAGGUAACGGCUCACCAAGGCUUCGAUCAGUAGCCGUCCUGAGAGGGAGCACGGCCACACUGGAACUGAGACACGGUCCAGACUCCUACGGGAGGCAGCAGUGGGGAAUUUUGGCAAUGGGCGAAAGCCUGACCAAGCAACGCCGCGUGGGUGAUGAAGUAUCUUGGUACGUAAAACCCUUUCGGCAGGGACGAACCUAAUGACGGUACCUGCGGAA
RNAcentral lists this ribosomal RNA (441 nucleotides) under uncultured bacterium. RNAcentral's name for it is "bacterial SSU rRNA". It matches the Rfam family "Bacterial small subunit ribosomal RNA", at positions 32 to 486 of the family's 1533-position model. The record is from RNAcentral.